UCCGGCGCCGGUGCGGUUCCACACGCCGUCCUCGUUGGCGGCGAUGACGUGGAAGCGGUAGCGGCCGGGUGCCAGGUUGGUGUACUGGGCGCCGCGU
RNAcentral lists this transfer RNA (97 nucleotides) under Pseudoduganella buxea. Its description in RNAcentral is "tRNA-Ala". The record is from RNAcentral. Lineage: Bacteria; Pseudomonadati; Pseudomonadota; Betaproteobacteria; Burkholderiales; Oxalobacteraceae.